Molecule: ribosomal RNA, 429 nt
Filed under: Chloroflexota bacterium
Lineage: Bacteria; Bacillati; Chloroflexota
Description: Chloroflexi bacterium partial 16S ribosomal RNA
Rfam family: Bacterial small subunit ribosomal RNA
Source: RNAcentral
UGGGGAAUAUUGCACAAUGGGCGCAAGCCUGAUGCAGCCAUGCCGCGUGUAUGAAGAAGGCCUUCGGGUUGUAAAGUACUUUCAGCGGGGAGGAAGGGAGUAAAGUUAAUACCUUUGCUCAUUGACGUUACCCGCAGAAGAAGCACCGGCUAACUCCGUGCCAGCAGCCGCGGUAAUACGGAGGGUGCAAGCGUUAAUCGGAAUUACUGGGCGUAAAGCGCACGCAGGCGGUUUGUUAAGUCAGAUGUGAAAUCCCCGGGCUCAACCUGGGAACUGCAUCUGAUACUGGCAAGCUUGAGUCUCGUAGAGGGGGGUAGAAUUCCAGGUGUAGCGGUGAAAUGCGUAGAGAUCUGGAGGAAUACCGGUGGCGAAGGCGGCCCCCCGGACGAAGACUGACGCUCAGGUGCGAAAGCGUGGGGAGCAAACAGG